Molecule: transfer RNA, 72 nt
Filed under: Heterocephalus glaber (naked mole-rat)
Lineage: Eukaryota; Metazoa; Chordata; Mammalia; Rodentia; Bathyergidae
Rfam family: tRNA
About the family: Transfer RNA (tRNA) molecules are approximately 80 nucleotides in length.
Source: Rfam by way of RNAcentral
GGGGGUGUAGCUUAUUGGUAAAGCAAUUGCCUAGUAUGCAAGUGGCCCUGAAUUCAAUUCCCAGCACCACAA